This 277-nucleotide non-coding RNA is filed under the name Beta vulgaris subsp. vulgaris (sugar beet). RNAcentral describes it as "Eukaryotic large subunit ribosomal RNA". It matches the Rfam family "Eukaryotic large subunit ribosomal RNA", at positions 675 to 954 of the family's 3401-position model. Lineage: Eukaryota; Viridiplantae; Streptophyta; Magnoliopsida; Caryophyllales; Amaranthaceae. The record is from Rfam by way of RNAcentral.
CUGACAUGUGUGCGAGUCAACGGGCGUAUAAACCCGUAUGGCACAAGGAAGCUAAUUCGCGGGAUCCCCUAGCGGGUGCACCACCGACCGACCUUGAUCUUUUGAGAAGGGUUCGAGUGUGAGCAUACCUGUCGGGACCCGAAAGAUGGUGAACUAUGCCUGAGCGGGGCGAAGCCAGAGGAAACUCUGGUGGAGGCCCGAAGCGAUACUGACGUGCAAAUCGUUCGUCUGACUUGGGUAUAGGGGAGAAAGAUUAAUCGAACCGUCUAGUAGCUGG